GAAUAUUGCACAAUGGGCGCAAGCCUGAUGCAGCCAUGCCGCGUGUAUGAAGAAGGCCUUCGGGUUGUAAAGUACUUUCAGCGGGGAGGAAGGGAGUAAAGUUAAUACCUUUGCUCAUUGACGUUACCCGCAGAAGAAGCACCGGCUAACUCCGUGCCAGCAGCCGCGGUAAUACGGAGGGUGCAAGCGUUAAUCGGAAUUACUGGGCGUAAAGCGCACGCAGGCGGUUUGUUAAGUCAGAUGUGAAAUCCCCGGGCUCAACCUGGGAACUGCAUUUGAUACUGGCAAGCUUGAGUCUCGUAGAGGGGGGUAGAAUUCCAGGUGUAGCGGUGAAAUGCGUAGAGAUCUGGAGGAAUACCGGUGGCGAAGGCGGCCCCCUGGACCAAGACUGACGCUCAUGUCGCGGAAAGCGUGGGGAGCAAA
This 423-nucleotide ribosomal RNA is filed under the name uncultured Escherichia sp. RNAcentral describes it as "bacterial SSU rRNA". It matches the Rfam family "Bacterial small subunit ribosomal RNA", at positions 359 to 772 of the family's 1533-position model. Lineage: Bacteria; Pseudomonadati; Pseudomonadota; Gammaproteobacteria; Enterobacterales; Enterobacteriaceae. The record is from RNAcentral.